AGUGAACGCUGGCGGUAGGCCUAACACAUGCAAGUCGAACGGCAGCACAGUAAGAGCUUGCUCUUACGGGUGGCGAGUGGCGGACGGGUGAGGAAUACAUCGGAAUCUACUUUUUCGUGGGGGAUAACGUAGGGAAACUUACGCUAAUACCGCAUACGACCUACGGGUGAAAGCAGGGGAUCUUCGGACCUUGUGCGAUUGAAUGAGCCGAUGUCGGAUUAGCUAGUUGGCGGGGUAAAUGCCCACCAAGGCGACGAUCCGUAGCUGGUCUGAGAGGAUGAUCAGCCACACUGGAACUGAGACACGGUCCAGACUCCUAAGGGAGGCAGCAGUGGGGAAUAUUGGACAAAGGGCGCAAGCAUGAUCCAGCCAUACCGCGUGGGUGAAGAAGGCCUUCGGGUUGUAAAGCCCUUUUGUUGGGAAAGAAAAGCAGCAGGUUAAUACCCCGCUGUUCUGACGGUACCCAAAGAAUAAGCACCGGCUAACUUCGUG
This 492-nucleotide ribosomal RNA is filed under the name uncultured bacterium. RNAcentral describes it as "partial 16S ribosomal RNA". It matches the Rfam family "Bacterial small subunit ribosomal RNA", at positions 29 to 507 of the family's 1533-position model. The record is from RNAcentral.